AUGUUGGUAAUGAAGUGAUACGUCCUUGUGUGUUAGUUUAGUAGAAGAUAAAGAAGGAGUUAUUAGUCAAGGUGAAUUAUUAUUUGCUUGAAGUAUGAAAAUGGCUAGACUAGCCAGUAAUUUAGGAUUAUAGACUCAUGAUUGUUUGUGGAAUUUGAAUAUAGUCUAAAUGUAUGCUUGGGUAAGUAGGUGUGAUGUGAGAAAACUAUAUAAGUCGAUAAGAUUGUACGGGGUUAUGAUAUAAGAUUAAGGGUGACCAUGUCUAUUAUGUGACUUUACCCCCCCCC
This 287-nucleotide long non-coding RNA is filed under the name Capsicum annuum. Its description in RNAcentral is "long non-coding RNA (CANN_LNC018960)". Lineage: Eukaryota; Viridiplantae; Streptophyta; Magnoliopsida; Solanales; Solanaceae. The record is from RNAcentral.